Molecule: long non-coding RNA, 318 nt
Organism: Alosa sapidissima (American shad)
Lineage: Eukaryota; Metazoa; Chordata; Actinopteri; Clupeiformes; Clupeidae
Exons: 3
Source: RefSeq, a predicted model, not a curated record
UGGGUAGCUGUCUAUAAACUCUGCACACCUAUAACAAGCUAAGGAGGAUGCAGCACGUUUGAUGGAGCCAGGAAUUCCUCCCUGAAAACAUCAUGGUUCCUUGAGGAAGUAGACCACCGGUUCGACCUUGUCGUAAUUGCCCUAAGCAGAUUGAAAGAGAAUGAGUUAGAGAAAGCCAUAAACUUGCAUUGGGACACCUUCCAUCUUUUUCGUGGCCUGAAGAUUGGAUACAUUGUUAAGAGGGUCAACAGCAAUUGACUUUGUGAGUAAUGCCAGCAUGCUGUAACAGGAAAUGGCAAUGACGACACACUUCUUUCA